AGGAUGAACGCUGGCGGCGUGCCUAACACAUGCAAGUCGAGCGAUUCUCUUCGGAGAAGAGCGGCGGACGGGUGAGUAACGCGUGGGUAACCUGCCCUGUACACACGGAUAACAUACCGAAAGGUAUGCUAAUACGAGAUAAUAUGCUUUUAUCGCAUGGUAGAAGUAUCAAAGCUCCGGCGGUACAGGAUGGACCCGCGUCUGAUUAGCUAGUUGGUAAGGUAACGGCUUACCAAGGCGACGAUCAGUAGCCGACCUGAGAGGGUGAUCGGCCACAUUGGAACUGAGACACGGUCCAAACUCCUACGGGAGGCAGCAGUGGGGAAUAUUGCACAAUGGGCGAAAGCCUGAUGCAGCAACGCCGCGUGAGCGAUGAAGGCCUUCGGGUCGUAAAGCUCUGUCCUCAAGGAAGAUAAUGACGGUACUUGAGGAGGAAGCCCCGGCUAACUACGUGCCAGCAGCCGCGGUAAUACGUAGGGGGCUAGCGUUAUCCGGAAUUACUGGGCGUAAAGGGUGCGUAGGUGGUUUCUUAAGUCAGAGGUGAAAGGCUACGGCUCAACCGUAGUAAGCCUUUGAAACUGGGAAACUUGAGUGCAGGAGAGGAGAGUGGAAUUCCUAGUGUAGCGGUGAAAUGCGUAGAUAUUAGGAGGAACACCAGUUGCGAAGGCGGCUCUCUGGACUGUAACUGACACUGAGGCACGAAAGCGUGGGGAGCAAACAGGAUUAGAUACCCUGGUAGUCCACGCCGUAAACGAUGAGUACUAGCUGUCGGAGGUUACCCCCUUCGGUGGCGCAGCUAACGCAUUAAGUACUCCGCCUGGGAAGUACGCUCGCAAGAGUGAA
Molecule: ribosomal RNA, 843 nt
Filed under: uncultured bacterium
Lineage: Bacteria
Description: bacterial SSU rRNA
Rfam family: Bacterial small subunit ribosomal RNA
Source: RNAcentral